This 403-nucleotide ribosomal RNA is filed under the name uncultured bacterium. RNAcentral describes it as "partial 16S ribosomal RNA". It matches the Rfam family "Bacterial small subunit ribosomal RNA", at positions 30 to 526 of the family's 1533-position model. The record is from RNAcentral.
AUUGAACGCUGGCGGCAGGCCUAACACAUGUAAGUCGAGCGAGCGGCGUACGGGUGAGUAAUGUAUGGGGACUGCCCGUUAGAGGGGGAUAACUACUGGAAACGGUGGCUAAUACCGCAUACUAUCGGAUAACCCAUAUGGGAUUAGCUAUUAGGUGGGGUAAAGGCUCACCUAGGCGACGAUCUCUAGCUGGUCUGAGAGGAUGAUCGGCAACACUGGUACGGAGACACGGCCCAGACUCCUACGGAGGAAGAAGUGGGGAAUAUUGCACAAUGGGCGCAAGCCUUAUGCAGCCAUGCCGCGAGGAUGAAGAAGGCCUUAGGGUUGUAAAGUACUUUCAGCGGGGAGGCGUUGCCCGCAGAAGAAGCACCGGCUAACUCCGUGCCAGCAGCCGCGGUAAUAC